GGGUCUCCGCCAUGGGCCUGCGCCGCCUCGGGACCGGGGUCAGGGAGCUCCUGCCUGCCUGGAUGAAGAGGAGGUCAAGACUUUGUCCCCCACUCCGCAAGAUACCCUCUCUGUUCCGGAGCGGUGGGUCCCUCCCCUGUUAGGACCUUGUCUCCCUCAGGACUGGACCUGGAUCCUGGGCCUGCAGUCAGAUUGCCAGUUUCACUUAGAGGUGGAAAUGUCAACCCACUGGUUGGAAUGGGAAGGUGAGACAGGAUUUCACCAUGUUAGCCAGGAUGGUCUUGAUCUCCUGACCUCAUGAUCUGCCCACCUCGGCCUCCCAAAGUGCUGGGCUUACAGGCGUGAGCCACCGUGCCCGGCCAAAAAUAACUUUUAAAAACAUGAGUAUAGCAUACACACACACAAAAGUCCACAAAUCCUAGGUGUACCACUUGAUGAAUGAUCCCAACGUGAGCACACCUCUGGAUUACCACCUGGAUCAAGAAAUAGGACAUCACAGCAGCUGGCAGCUUCCAAGGAGAAGCUCUGGAAAGUUCUGCCUGUCUCAGCACCUGGCUGGAUCGGAAACGAGUUUUCUUUAACCAGAUUUUUAAUGACUGACUUAUGUGGACAAAUCAUAACUGAAUGAAUCACCUCCUUUGUUGAUUUUUUUGGGUACUUUAUUUGCUAUUAUAAAUGAUGCUGUAAUAAGCACCCUUGAAGAAAUCUUCAUAUCUGCCUCUCCUGUGUAGCAGGUCACAGUGCCUGGGUUUGGUUCUAGCCCUCAUUUGUGAACUGUGUGACUCACCAUGCCUUUUUUCUUUCUGUAAGACAGGAAUAAUGGUAAGAAUUUAAAUGGGGGUAAUAUGGAGCGCGUUUAGUUCAGAGCCUGGUGCAUACAAGCACUCAAUAAGUACUGGCGAUUAUUAGACCUUUAGAUUAAUUUAUUAGAAGUUGGAUUUCUGGUGAAAGGGUUUGAGUGUUUUUGAGGCUUUGGCACAGAAUACCCAGCUGGUCCCAGAAAGGUGGUUCCCAUUUACCUGCCCGAAGGUAAUUCACCCUUACUGAUACUGAGUACUGUUUUCUAAAAGAACAUUAAAAAUUGGAUAGGUUAAAAACAGGUGAAUACAUUUUUUUAGUUGCAUUUUUUUGGUUACCCGUGAGAGUGAACAUGUUGCCAUGUGUUUGCUGACCUCCUAAAUGGUCUAUUUGCUCCUACCUUUGUACCCCAAAAGUCUGCUCUCAAGAUGGUAGCCAGAAUGAUCCUUUUUGAGACAUAAGUCAAAAUUUCACUCUUCUCCUUAAAGCUCUGCAAUGGUUCUCAGGUUAAAAGCCAAAGUCCUGUUCAAGGCCUCCAGGGUCCUCACCACUUGGUCCCUUGCUCUUUCUGUUCUAGCCAACUUGGCCUUCUCCUGCCCCUCCGCCGCACCAUGGCAAUUUCCCCUGCUCUGUGUGGUCAACUACCUGAAUCUGUUCAAAGCUUUGCUCAAAUGUCUCCUUCCUGAUGAGACCUCCCCAGCCCCUGAGCUCCCCAUGCCUCACUCCUGAUCGCCUUACUUAACCCUUCUUUUUCUUUUUUGCCAGUAGUACUUAUCACCGUCUAAAAUACUUCAUAAUUUACUUGUUUAUUGUUUGCCCCUCUCCAAUAGAAUGUAAGCUCCUUGGGGCAGGGACCUUUGUCCUUUGUCUUGUUCACUGCUGUGUCCCAUGUGUAAACUUGUCUGGCACAGAAGAGGUGCUCGAUAAAUAUUUGUUGAGUGAAUGAAUGGUAAAUUUUCUGUUCAUAUUCUUUGACUAUUUUCUAUUGUAAUGUUCAUCUUUUUAGUAUUGGUUUAUAAGAUGUAUAUUUAGCACCUUUUCAUAUAUCACUCUUUGUCACAUAUUAUGCAACUAAUUUGUCAUUUCCAUCAAUUUUUAAAAUACUUUCUUGAUGCUUCAUUUUUAAGCUGUCAGAUUAUUAAUCUUUUCUUUAUGGUCUUGGACUUUAUUGUUGCAUAACCGCUGCCUUCACCAGGAACAUAUAAAUUUUCAAUUAAAUGUUCUUCUGAGAUUUUAUGAUUUCACUUUUUAUAUUAAACUCUUCAUUUUGUCUUCAUGUGUGGUGAGAGGUAAGAACAUAACUUUAAAGCAAAUUAACCAACUAUCCCCAAAUGAAUUAUAAAUAAAUUAAUCAUUUUCCAAUGAUCUGAAAGGCCAUUUUAUCAUACACUAAAUAUUUUUGUGUGUUUGACUGGGUUUACCGUUCUGUUCCGUUGGCCUAUCACAUCGUUCUUACAUUGGUAUUUGUUGCCCUAUUUUAAUGAUUGUAACUUUUUAAUAAGGGUUAAUGACUGAGAAUACAAGUCCCAUUGUUUUGUUUUAUUAUUUUUAUUAUUUUUUUGAGACAGGGUUUCACUCUGUCACCCAGGCUGGAGUAUAGUAGCACUAUCUCGGCUCAUUGCAACCUCUGCCUCCCUGGUUCAAGUGAUUCUCCCACCUCAACCUCCCGAGUAGCUGGGACUACAGAUGCAUGCCACCACACCCAGCUAAUUCUUGUAUUUUUAGUAGAGACAGGGUUUCACCAUGUUGACCAGGCUGGUCUUGAACUCCUGGCUUCAAGUGAUUCACCUGCCUCGACCUCCCAAAGUGCUGGGAUUACAGGCGUGACUCACCACGCCUGGCCCAUUUUUUUCUUUUGAGGUGUUCUUUGUGGCAAUUCAUAUAUUCUUUAAGAUAAAUUCUAAACUUUUUUUUUCUGCCGAGAUAAACUAGCAGACAAAUCCCACUGGACAUUGCAAUUGGAUUAGUUUUGUAGAUUAAUUUAGUGAUAAUCAACUUCUUUGCACCAUUGAGUGCUUCUGUCCGGGAACGUGGCAUAUCUUUCUAUUAUUAAGGUCUUUUUUAUUAUAGGUCUUUAGGGAAGCUUUAUUUUAUAGAUGAAUGUAGUGUGUUUGGUGCUUAUUUUCAUAAAAUAAAGCAAUGACAUCUGUGGCAGGCAGCUUCUGAAAUGGCUCCCAAUGAUCCUUACCUUCUGAUAGUCACCCCCUUGGAGAAUCCCUUUCCUUUGUGUGUGGGCUGGAUCUAGUGACUUGCUUCUCAUAAAUAGAAUAUGGCAAAAAAUGAUGGGUUGUUACUUCUGAGAUUAGGUUAUAAGAGGCGAAUUUCUGUUUUGCUGUAAUUUUGUCUCUCUAACCCUCUUGCUUUCCUGUGCUCAUGAAACCAGCUGCUGUGUUGUGAGCCACCUUAUGGAAAACCCAUGUGGCAGAGAACCGAGGGUGGUGGCUGGCCAACAGCAAGCCAGGAGCUGAGGCCCACAGUCCAACAACUGGUGAGGAACCACAUGCUGCCAGCAGCCAUGUGAGGGAACUUAGAAGCAAAUCCUUCCCCAGUUGAGCCUUCAGAUGACACCAGAGCCUUGGCUGACCCCUUACUUUUACCCUUGUAAGAGACUUUGAGCCAGAAGACUUGGCU
Homo sapiens (human) is the source of this 3429-nucleotide long non-coding RNA. Ensembl annotates it as LOXL1 antisense RNA 1. Its record names the gene LOXL1-AS1. NCBI's taxonomy places the organism in Eukaryota, Metazoa, Chordata, Mammalia, Primates, Hominidae. The record is from Ensembl.